AACCAUAGAAACCUGCGGAGUACCUGCGGAGGGAUCAUUACAGAGUUGCAAAACUCCCUAAACCAUUGUGAACGUUACCUAAACCGUUGCUUCGGCGGGCGGCCCGGGUCCUUCCCGGCGCCCCUCGGCCCUCGCGGGCGCCCGCCGGAGGUAAACCAAACUAUUGCGUUGUAUGGCCUCUCUGAGUCUUCUGUACUGAAUAAGUCAAAACUUUUAACAACGGAUCUCAGAUCGGAAGAG
RNAcentral lists this unclassified non-coding RNA (240 nucleotides) under soil metagenome. RNAcentral's name for it is "partial contains 5.8S ribosomal RNA, internal transcribed spacer 2, and large subunit ribosomal RNA". The record is from RNAcentral.